This 732-nucleotide ribosomal RNA is filed under the name uncultured eukaryote. RNAcentral's name for it is "SSU rRNA". It matches the Rfam family "Eukaryotic small subunit ribosomal RNA", at positions 672 to 1426 of the family's 1831-position model. The record is from RNAcentral.
GGUGUUUCUGGGUGUUAUCGAUUUAUCGUAAUGUUCGGUUUUGAGUCCUUAACAGGAUUUUUAACAGUCAUUGCAAGUUUACUUUGAACAAAUCAGAGUGCUUCAAACAGGCGUUUUCGCUUGAAUGAUCGUGCAUGGAAUAAUAGAAAACGAUUUCGGUUCAGUUUUAUUGGUUUUACGGACUGAGAUAAUGGUUAACAGAGACAAACGGGGGCAUUUGUAUGGCCCCGUGAGAGGUGAAAUUCUUGGACCGUGGCCGGACAAACUACAGCGAAAGCAUUUGCCAAGAAUGUCUUCAUUAAUCAAGAACGAAAGUCAGAGGUUCGAAGGCGAUCAGAUACCGCCCUAGUUCUGACCGUAAACGAUGCCAACUAGCGAUCCGCUGAUGGAAAUUAUAUUGCCUUGGUGGGGAGCUUCCCGGAAACGAAAGUCUUCCGGUUCCGGGGGGAAGUAUGGUUGCAAAGCUGAAACUUAAAGGAAUUGACGGAAGGGCACCACCAGGAGUGGAGCCUGCGGCUUAAUUUGACUCAACACGGGGAAACUCACCCGGCCCGGACACUGUGAGGAUUGACAGAUUGAUAGCUUUUUCAUGAUUCAGUGGAUGGUGGUGCAUGGCCGUUCUUAGUUCGUGGAGUGAUUUGUCUGGUUUAUUCCGAUAACGAGCGAGACUCUAACCUACUAAAUAGUUGGUACAUACUCUUUGUGUAUACAGCUUCUUAGAGGGAUUUGCGG